GACGGAGGGGGCAAGCGUUGUCCGGACUCACUGGGCGUAAAGGGUGCGCAGGCGGCCUGCUGCGUCGGCGCUGAAAGCGCCCGGCUUAACCGGGCGAGGCGUGCCGAUACGAGUAGGCUUGAGGCUCGGAGAGGGUGGGGGAACUCCUGGUGUAGUGGUGAAAUGCGUAGAGAUCAGGAAGAACACCCGUGGCGCAAGCGCCCACCUGGCCGAGUGCUGACGCUGAGGCACGAGAGCGUGGGGAGCGAACCGG
Molecule: ribosomal RNA, 253 nt
Filed under: uncultured bacterium
Lineage: Bacteria
Description: partial 16S ribosomal RNA
Rfam family: Bacterial small subunit ribosomal RNA
Source: RNAcentral